CAAUAGCGUAUAUUAAAGUUGUUGCGGUAAAAAAGCUCGUAGUUGGAUUUCUGUUGAGAGCGACCGGUCCAUACCAUGUAUGCGUAUCUGGCUUGCUCUCGGCAUCCUCUCGAUAGACGUUACUGCGCUUGAUUGCGUGGUGCGGAUCUCGGGACUUUUACUUUGAGGUAAUUAGAGUGUUCACGGCAGGCUUUCGCCAGAAUACAUUAGCAUGGAAUAAUACUAUAGGAUCUUGGUUCUAUUUUGUUGGUUUCUAGAAUUGAGAUAAUGAUUAAUAGGGACAAUUGGGGGCAUUCGUAUCAACACGUCAGAGGUGGAAUUCUUGGAUUGUGUUGCGACGAACUACUGCGAAAGCAUUUGCCAAGGAUGUUUUCAUUGA
This 379-nucleotide ribosomal RNA is filed under the name uncultured eukaryote. Its description in RNAcentral is "partial 18S ribosomal RNA". It matches the Rfam family "Eukaryotic small subunit ribosomal RNA", at positions 592 to 976 of the family's 1831-position model. The record is from RNAcentral.